Cherax quadricarinatus is the source of this 574-nucleotide non-coding RNA. The record is from RefSeq and is a predicted model, not a curated record. NCBI's taxonomy places the organism in Eukaryota, Metazoa, Arthropoda, Malacostraca, Decapoda, Parastacidae.
ACCCCAGCAUGUCGAGCGCUCCACCAUCAGUAGUACUGAUAGUGAUGUUGUAGUAGUGUCAUCUAAUGAUCGUAAGAGUUAGUCAGGUUAAGUUAUCAGUGAUGGUGUUAUAGUGAAGGUCAGGACAGUGACCAACCUCAAAGUGACUGAAAGUUCAGUUGAAUGUCAGUGGUUGUGGGGGGAGGGGUGUGUUGCUCCUCCGUUCACCCCGCCGGCUUUACCGCUUCCUCAUUCUCUUAAAACGGCUAAAUAACGUGUGGUAACUGUGGAGUGCUGUGCCUGGAACAUCUUAGUGAUCAACACAGCCACCUUGACCAGUUUGAGGAGUGGAGAGAACCACAGUAGUAAAUGGUCUGACCCAUAACAUUUAGUGAUGGAGUUGUGUGGAGAUGCAGCAGCUGGGUACGUCGUCAGAGAUGGGCGGGGCCCACUUGUAAGGAUGGAACUGGAGGACUUGGAGGUGUUGGCAGUGUGGCAGAGGAAUGACUAGUGGCGCCACUAUUCUUGCCCUUCACGGGUAAGUGGCGCCAUUGACCUAGGGGAAGGGAGUGAUGAUGAUAGUGGUUGUUUGCGG